GAAAAGGUCGCUUGUACAGAAUGGAACGGGUUGAUCGUUCGCAGUGGGACCUUCUUUCACCUUACAAUGGAAAAACUGUUCUGCUGCAAGGAAUACCUCGAAAUGCAAUGAUAGAAGACGUGGAACACUUCUUAUCUGGCUGUGACUAUGAUGGAACCUCAAUCAAUAUAUUUAUCAGGUCAUCCUUUCCAGAUCCCAUCAAAAUGGCAACGGUGCUGUUCCCUUCACCAACACAAGCAAUGCAUGCAUUUCUUACAAAGAACAGAGGCUUUUGUCUGAACAACCGAAUUUCGAUGCAGGUUCUCCAAUAACUAGUAACUCUUAUCAUCUAUGUUGGGCACAUUCUUUUGUUGGCUCGUUGGCUGGACGUUUUGUAGUAGUCUUUAUUGAGUUAUGACUUGC
This 402-nucleotide unclassified non-coding RNA is filed under the name Hevea brasiliensis (rubber tree). Lineage: Eukaryota; Viridiplantae; Streptophyta; Magnoliopsida; Malpighiales; Euphorbiaceae. The record is from RNAcentral.